CACGUAGGGCGCAAGCGUUGUCCGGAAUUAUUGGGCGUAAAGAGCUCGUAGGCGGUCUGUUGCGUCCGCUGUGAAAACCCAGGGCUUAACCCUGGGCUGGCAGUGGAUACGGACAGACUAGAGGUAGGUAGGGGAGAAUGGAAUUCCCGGUGUAGCGGUGAAAUGCGCAGAUAUCGGGAGGAACACCUAUGGCGAAGGCAGCUCGCUGGGACGUUACUGACGCUGAGACGCGAAAGCGUGGGGAGCAAACAGG
This 253-nucleotide ribosomal RNA is filed under the name uncultured bacterium. RNAcentral's name for it is "partial 16S ribosomal RNA". It matches the Rfam family "Bacterial small subunit ribosomal RNA", at positions 524 to 776 of the family's 1533-position model. The record is from RNAcentral.